RNAcentral lists this long non-coding RNA (732 nucleotides) under Linum usitatissimum (flax). RNAcentral describes it as "long non-coding RNA (LUSI_LNC002033)". Lineage: Eukaryota; Viridiplantae; Streptophyta; Magnoliopsida; Malpighiales; Linaceae. The record is from RNAcentral.
GAAAAGCCAAGACGAUUGCAGUAAGUAUCUAUCCUUUGAAGGAUUCUAGGUUUGGUCUCCCUUAGUUCAUACUCAAUCCUCAUAACAUGCUUUCUUGAUUCGCUUCAGAACAUUUUUGGGUUGACUUAGCCCUGUAGGUUAUCCUCUACUUCCUUGCUUUCAAAGAUAACAUGAUUUAUAGUAUCAUAUAACUUGCAUGUAUUAUGUGUCACAAAUUAAUAUUCUUCAAGUUCCAGUUUCUGUAAAGCAUGUGAUCUAGGAGCUCGGUAGAAUCAUUUCCAUAUCGAAUCAGAAGUUUAUUUAUCCGAUGUUAAUUUUCAGCAGCUUUGUCGAGUGGGGAAACACAUGCUCAGGAAACCAGCAUCCCUGAAGUGCUUGAUCAUCAGCGACUGUCAAAUCAAGGGAACUCCCAUUUUCAGGCACAUGAUUCAUCAUCCCGUGUAGAUUCUGGAUCCACUGAGAGGAUGGUAAGAGUUUUUGCACAGAAUGUAUCGUUAAAUUCGUGCUCCCUUGUUGUGGCAUCAACUAGUAGCUGUUUGGCUGUUCAAAUUUGUGGCUACAGUUGGUUUCUUGUGGGUUGUGUGUGUUCUCCACAUAUACGAUUUCUUUAACGUCUUUGGUUUUAUUAUUUACUCGUGGUUCACUGAUAUGUAUCACAGGAUGUUACAAGCAACUGUACAGCUGACUUGGAAACCAUUUUUUCACCUGCUUUGGAGCCCAUUGGUAUUUAUA